GACGAACGCUGGCGGCGUGCUUAACACAUGCAAGUCGAACGGUGAAGCGCCUUCCUUUUUGGUGGGUGUGGAUGAGUGGCGAACGGGUGAGUAACACGUGAGUAACCUGCCCCCUUCUUCUGGAUAACCGCAUGAAAGUGUGGCUAAUACGGGAUAUUCUGGGUCUGUCGCAUGAUGGGUCUGGGAAAGAUAUUGUUUCGGUGGGGGAUGGGCUCGCGGCCUAUCAGCUUGUUGGUGGGGUGAUGGCCUACCAAGGCGGUGACGGGUAGCCGGCCUGAGAGGGUGGACGGUCACACUGGGACUGAGACAUGGCCCAGACUCCUACGGGAGGCAGCAGUGGGGAAUAUUGCACAAUGGGCGCAAGCCUGAUGCAGCGACGCCGCGUGAGGGAUGGAGGCCUUCGGGUUGUGAACCUCUUUCGCCAGUGAAGCAGGCCUGCCUCGUUUGUGGGUGGGUUGACGGUAGCUGGAUAAGAAGCGCCGGCUAACUACGUG
This 494-nucleotide ribosomal RNA is filed under the name uncultured bacterium. RNAcentral's name for it is "partial 16S ribosomal RNA". It matches the Rfam family "Bacterial small subunit ribosomal RNA", at positions 28 to 507 of the family's 1533-position model. The record is from RNAcentral.